AUUGAACGCUGGCGGCAUGCCUUACACAUGCAAGUCGAACGGCAGCACGGGUGCUUGCACCUGGUGGCGAGUGGCGAACGGGUGAGUAAUACAUCGGAACAUGUCCUGUAGUGGGGGAUAGCCCGGCGAAAGCCGGAUUAAUACCGCAUACGAUCUACGGAUGAAAGCGGGGGACCUUCGGGCCUCGCGCUAUAGGGUUGGCCGAUGGCUGAUUAGCUAGUUGGUGGGGUAAAGGCCUACCAAGGCGACGAUCAGUAGCUGGUCUGCGAGGACGACCAGCCACACUGGGACUGAGACACGGCCCAGACUCCUACGGGAGGCAGCAGUGGGGAAUUUUGGACAAUGGGCGAAAGCCUGAUCCAGCAAUGCCGCGUGUGUGAAGAAGGCCUUCGGGUUGUAAAGCACUUUUGUCCGGAAAGAAAUCCUUGGCCCUAAUACGGUCGGGGGAUGACGGUACCGUAAGAAUAAGCACCGGCUAACUACGUG
RNAcentral lists this ribosomal RNA (486 nucleotides) under uncultured bacterium. RNAcentral's name for it is "partial 16S ribosomal RNA". It matches the Rfam family "Bacterial small subunit ribosomal RNA", at positions 30 to 507 of the family's 1533-position model. The record is from RNAcentral.